GAUGAAGAACGCAGCGAAAUGCGAUACUUGGUGUGAAUUGCAGAAUCCCGUGAACCAUCGAGUCUUUGAACGCAAGUUGCGCCUCAAGCCAUUAGGUUGAGGGCGCGUCUGCCUGGGCGUCACAUAUCGUUGCCUGAUGCCAGUUUCCUCGUGAUGGGUGACUGUGCAGGGCGAAUGAUGGCUUCCCGUGAGCAUUGUUGCCUCAUGGUUGGUUGAAAAUUGAGUCCUUGGUAGGGAGCGCCGUGAUAGAUGGUGGUUGAGUGACGAACGAGACCCAAUCAUGUGAGACCCCUACCGAAUUUGGCCUUCAUGACCCACAUGCGUCUUUGGAACGCUCAUGACGAGACCUCAGGUCAGGCGGGGCUACCCGCUGAGUUUAAGCAUAUCAAUAAGCGGAGGA
This 400-nucleotide unclassified non-coding RNA is filed under the name soil metagenome. Its description in RNAcentral is "partial contains 5.8S ribosomal RNA, internal transcribed spacer 2, and large subunit ribosomal RNA". The stretch from base 1 to 122 matches the Rfam family "5.8S ribosomal RNA", at positions 35 to 154 of the family's 154-position model. The record is from RNAcentral.